RNAcentral lists this ribosomal RNA (459 nucleotides) under uncultured bacterium. Its description in RNAcentral is "partial 16S ribosomal RNA". It matches the Rfam family "Bacterial small subunit ribosomal RNA", at positions 338 to 795 of the family's 1533-position model. The record is from RNAcentral.
CCUACGGGGUGCAGCAGUGAGGAAUAUUGGUCAAUGGCCGGAAGGCUGAACCAGCCAAGCCGCGUGAAGGACGAAGGUGCCAAGCAUUGUAAACUUCUUUUGUCAAGGGACAAAAUCAGGCUCGAGAGCCUGACCGAGGGUACUUUACGAAAAAGCAUCGGCUAACUCCGUGCCAGCAGCCGCGGUAAUACGGAGGAUGCGAGCGUUAUCCGGAUUUAUUGGGGUUAAGGGGUGCGUAGGCGGACGGUUAAGUCAGCGGUAAAAGCCCGGGGCUCAACCCCGGCGAGCCGUUGAAACUGGCGGUCUUGAGAGGUCGAGAGGUAGGCGGAAUGCGCAGUGUAGCGGUGAAAUGCGUAGAUAUUGCGCAGAACUCCGAUUGCGAAGGCAGCAUACCGGCGGCGAUCUGACGCUGAGGCACGAAAGCGUGGGUAUCGAACAGGAUUAGAUACCCCAGUAGUC